Molecule: transfer RNA, 87 nt
Filed under: Luteimonas sp.
Lineage: Bacteria; Pseudomonadati; Pseudomonadota; Gammaproteobacteria; Lysobacterales; Lysobacteraceae
Also listed under: 4 other names
Description: tRNA-Leu
Rfam family: tRNA
About the family: Transfer RNA (tRNA) molecules are approximately 80 nucleotides in length. Their secondary structure includes four short double-helical elements and three loops (D, anti-codon, and T loops).
Source: RNAcentral
GCCGAAGUGGCGGAAUCGGUAGACGCAGCGGACUCAAAAUCCGCCGCCGUUAAAAGCGUGUGGGUUCGAGUCCCACCUUCGGCACCA